UUAAGUGACGAUAGCCUAGGAGAUACACCUGUACCCAUGCCGAACACAGCAGUUAAGCCCUAGAACGCCUGAUGUAGUUGGGGGUUGCCCCCUAUGAGAUAAGGUAGUCGCUUAGC
RNAcentral lists this ribosomal RNA (116 nucleotides) under Streptococcus pyogenes. Lineage: Bacteria; Bacillati; Bacillota; Bacilli; Lactobacillales; Streptococcaceae. The record is from RNAcentral.